Long non-coding RNA from Pseudopipra pipra, 2035 nucleotides. RefSeq lists it as uncharacterized. Lineage: Eukaryota; Metazoa; Chordata; Aves; Passeriformes; Pipridae. The record is from RefSeq and is a predicted model, not a curated record. The transcript is spliced from 3 exons.
UUGGUAACAUUGAUCAACUGCAGCUGAAAACAACACAAGUUGUACUGGUGUCACUGUCCUCUACUAUGCAUCAGUCCUGCAGGACAGGGAUGAAUACUUGUUCUGUUCCCACAUGUAAACAAUAUACAUAUAAUAUCCUGCUUCCCACAGCUAAACUUGUACAAAACUUCAGUUUGUUUGAGAGAACAUAUUUCCACGAGACAAUUCCCCAAAUUAAAGUAAAACUUAUUGGUUCAGGAGGAAAGAUAUACCAAACAUUUGCUUGAAUGAAAACAUCUGCUUUUUCCCUUCUGUGCCUGUUUAUGUCUAUGAACAUGCCAACUGGGAAACCCACUUGCACAAUUCAAAAACCAGAAGUCUCAGCCUGUAUCAUCAGUGAGUCAUACCUUAAUUUAACUAAAUUGACUCUUCUCCCUUCUGUUCCAGAAAUAUGAUUCCCAGUGUUGCCCAACUGACUGCGUGCAGCUAACCAGCCCUCAAUGAAGUCAUAGCAGUCUUUCCACUGACCCCAAUGAACACAGCUGUCAGCAACAGUACCUGCCUCACAUGCUGCUGCCAGCAGGAAGGGCCUUUGGGGCCACUUCAGCCGGGCAAAAACUGUCUUUGUGGCUACUGAACUACCUCACUCUGAAUGUCUUCAUCAGCUGCUGCCGGCUACACCCAGACGAGCCAAACACCACCCGGAAAACCGCAUUCUGGAAGUGUCUGUGUGUGACUCACGGCUGCCCUGCCCACUUGAUACGUGAGUAAAGAACACCUGUUGCUGCUGCCCAUUCAGUGCACCCCUUGAUUGCUGAGCUGUUAGUGCUGCAUCCUCUCUCCCAAGCACCUGCCUGAACUUGCCCAAACUUGCCUGCUGUCGUUUGCCUGGCAGUCUGGGCUCCUUGCUGUCCCUCUAAUCGUAACUGUGCCCUGCCUGCUGGACUCAGGUAUCCCACGGCUUCUCUUCUCAGCUUGACAAAUGGGGCUUGCCUCCACGCUUGAUUUAAUCUGCCUUCUGUGGGAUGCAAGAGCCUGGAAUAGUUCCCUCUUGUGCUGACUUCCUGCCAACCGCAGUGAAAAAAAUAACGGUCUCGGAGAUAACUGUGUUUCUGCAGUUUUCUUUCAUGAAAAGGGACAGCUCCGUAUUCCCCUAGUGAAGAAAGCCUUGCAGUGUGAGUUCACAUAUUACAGAAACCAGAGAAUUAACACGGAAAUGAGACCUUAGAAAUGCCUUAAUAAAAAAAAAAAAAACACUUCUAUGGGCACUGAAGUGCAAAUCCGUAAGGAUAUAGGACACUUUUUCUAGGUAACCACGAGUAUUUAAAUGAGCUUUCCUUUUGUAACAAGCUGGAAACUCUUAAAGGCAAACUGAGAUCAUAACUUAGUAAAUGCAUCUGUAGUAAUUGAAGCAUUCAAAAGAUACUAUUGCAAGAUUUGUAAUAAGAGCAGGAUGGAUUGUAAGAAUAGGCUAAUGGUAAUAAAUUAACGAGAAAAUACUUCAAGUCCUCCCACAUUUUGCAGCAGCAAUUACUAUGACCAGUAAUUUUACAAGCUGUGUUCAAAACAUACAUUUGACUGGUGGGUCCAGUUUCCUGUCCCAUCUCUGCUCUCCUAACGAACAAUUCACAUGUAUCUUUGGGGAAUGGAAGUACCAUUAAGCUGACAGCAAUGAAAUAGCAUAUUUUGAACACAGAUGUUGUUGUACUCUUCCAUUGGCACCUGCAAACCAUACAGCAUUAAACUUUGCAUCCAGACUUAGAACACCUCAUGAUUACAGUCAACACCUUGUUAAACAUGUGCCCUCUGCCCCAUGAAGGAGUCUUUCUGCCAGUCCAGUUUGUGGGUAGGCUAUACUUUUAUACAACAUACUGAAAGUAGUGCAAGUGUCUCCAUAGUUAUUUCAAAUGUUGUGAUUCCCAUUGCAAAAUGUCAGUACUUUCUGAAGCCAUCUGGGUGUUAGUUCUCUUCUUUUGUGUAACAAGCACUACUUCUCUCAGGUAAACUUUGCUAUACAAGAAAAAAGUUAUCCACUUCCUUUUACCACAAAGUUACA